This is an RNA transcript of Myotis brandtii (Brandt's bat), 1629 nucleotides long. It is a transcript of the gene named derlin 3, with no coding region annotated. The transcript is spliced from 6 exons. NCBI's taxonomy places the organism in Eukaryota, Metazoa, Chordata, Mammalia, Chiroptera, Vespertilionidae. The record is from RefSeq and is a predicted model, not a curated record.
UGUAAAAAAAUCAAUAAAAUAUAUAUUUAAAAAAAAAGAAAUGUGGACAUGCUGCCGGCGCCUGCCUUGCCGUGGGUGAAGUGGCACCAUCUCUGGCUGUCGGGACCGCGGGCCAGGCCGAUGUGGGCCCCAGAGCGCACGGCCGGCCUCUUGGUUCCCGCCCCGCCCACACUCCAUAUCCCGCCCCUUCCAGUGGAUCCGUCUUUUCUCGACUAGAGUGCCCCGUGGUCCUUCGCUAUUGGUCUUCCCCGCCGCUUGCUGAGAAGCCACCAGCUCCUCAUUGGCGGCACAUUCUCCCGCGCGCGCUGCAACCAUCACAACAACCGCCACGUGCUCGACUGGGGGGCCUGCUCAUUGGCCCAAAGUCUCCACCCGCCCCGUUCCUGUCCCGCCCCCAGCUUCCCGCUUCCUCCUCCUACUGGUUAUCUAGCCUCAGGCCCCACCCCAACGGCCUGGGCACAAAGCGUCUUCCACGCGGAUUGGUCGAAGGCGGGGAGGCGGGGCUUGGAGGCGGGUUAAAGAGCGCGCCGAAGUGGGGGCCACGUGUACCUGAGGAGGUUCAAUGGCGUGGCGGGGGCUGGCGGCCGAGUUCCUGCAGGUGCCGGCGGUGACCCGAGCUUACACCGCGGCCUGCGUCCUGACCACAGCUGCCGUGCAGCUGGAGCUCCUGAGCCCCUUCCAGCUCUACUUCAACCCGCACCUCGUGUUCCGGAAGUUCCAGGUCUGGAGGCUCCUCACCAACUUCCUCUUCUUCGGGCCCCUGGGAUUCAGCUUCUUCUUCAACAUGCUCUUCGUGUUCCGCUACUGCCGCAUGUUGGAGGAGGGCUCCUUCCGCGGCCGCACGGCUGACUUCGUCUUCAUGUUUCUCUUUGGGGGCGUCCUUAUGAUCCUGCUAGGGCUCCUGGGCAGCCUGUUCUUCCUGGGCCAGGCCCUCACAGCCAUGCUGGUGUACGUGUGGAGCCGCCGCAGCCCUCAAGUGAGGGUCAACUUCUUCGGCCUCCUUACCUUCCAGGCGCCAUUCCUGCCCUGGGCACUCAUGGGCUUCUCAAUGCUACUGGGCAACUCGAUCCUCGUGGACCUGCUGGGUGAGCCUGCCUGUCCAUCCAGCCCAUCAAAGCUGGCUGUUCUGCCAGACCCCCACCCCCCCGGACCUCUCAUCUGUCCUCCUACCUCCAGCAUCUCUAUUCUUAUAGCCCCUUGAAUAAGCCAGCAGGCCUACAGGUUUCACAUCUUCAGGCCUCAUCUGCUGAUGCUUGUGUGAGUCCUGAUUGGGGUGGGGUGGGUAGUUCAGCUUUCCAGCCAUGGCUCCCACUCCGCUGUUCUCAGGUCCUGGGUCCUGGAACACUGUCCUUCGGGCCAACCCCAGCCCCAUCCUGGGCUGGCAGUCUGUGCAGGACAUAGGGCACUCAUGCUCUGAGGCCUGAGGUUCCUCUGGGCCUGACUAGGCCUCCAGAGCUGCACAUGGAAGCCCAGAACAAGGCUGUGCUGGCCCUGGGCUCUGGACCAUGGAGGCAGUGGCCUUGGCAGUCCUCUGCUCUCCCACAGGGAUUGCUGUGGGUCACAUCUACUACUUCCUGGAAGAUGUCUUUCCCAACCAGCCUGGAGGCAAGAGGCUGCUGCUGACCCCCG